Molecule: RNA transcript, 6208 nt
Organism: Chionomys nivalis (European snow vole)
Lineage: Eukaryota; Metazoa; Chordata; Mammalia; Rodentia; Cricetidae
Exons: 8
Source: RefSeq, a predicted model, not a curated record
GAGGCAGGCUUGAGAGGGAAGGAGGAGGUGACGCUGGUGGGGCAGGCUGUUAUUUUGGUGGUGGUCACGGUUUCAGAUAGGGCACCAUCCCCCUUUUUCCUGGCUUUCCAGGGAGAGCAGCAAGAGAAAGAAAGAAGCAAACGAAAUUCCUGAAUGGAUAGAAGAUGCUACGUCAGCGGUACCCAGUCGCAUCCUCCACUCCACAAGAGGAGAAGAACUGGGAGAGACCCGCGGCUGCUCAGCGUUGUCGCCUCUCCUCCUCGCAGAGGCAAGUACCCCAGACACGGCCAACGUCUUAAUGCAGCCGGAGCAGCAGGAAGGAGAGUGCAGAGAGGACCUGGGGAAGAGGGAAGGGCUCUGAACCUGGGCUCCAGGAGCAGCGGCCCUGUUCACUUCAUCGGCUCAUCGAUGUCGUCAUAGGCGGCCGGCAUCUCUGACUUUGGUGUGACCUGCAUUGUCAAAGCUAAGAGGCAAUGCAACAACACAGCCUGGGGACAAAAGGCCACCCUGUAUCUGGUUCUGCAUGGAGAGGGAAGAAUAUGUCAGAAAACCUCCUCGCUCUUGAGGGACACUUUUGAAGGGGCAUCUUGUUUCCAGCUGGAAGAGCAUGAGCUAUCCACAGACUGAUCCCAGUUAAAGGAGCCAAGAGUCCUCUGCUCCUCUCCAAGCACAGCUUCUCCCCUGGGCGGGUGGGUGUUCCACCCUCCCGCCCUUUCUCUGCCUUGUGGACAAGGAUGUGAGGACCAGUGGCAUCCAGCACCGCGGACAGCUCCCAGCGCUCUUUGGAAACUGUGCCUUCUCUAAGACCACUCACAGCAUCUCCCGGGCCAGCGGACUUUCCUGUCCUCCCUCUGUGGACAAUUCCAUGCUGAUCUGCUCUUCCCAGCCUCUGCGAUGGCCUUGCUUUUGUGCCCUAGCCGACAGACUGUUGCUGGUCCAGUCACUCAGCCCUCUGGGUCAGCCAGCUCCACACAGAGGUGUCAGCCUUGAUGUCCCCUCUUCUACCACCAUCUGCCGACGGUGAAAACUUUCACUCAUCUCCUUAAGUUUGGUCCAUUCAGAACAGCAGAGUUACAUCCUACCCACUGUCCAGCGUCCUGUCCUUAGCUCUCACACCCAAGCCUGGAGCCGGAAACGGCCACAUGUGCCCAGGUCCUACUGUGAAGAACACUGGGAGGUGGCUGUGUUUCUACUUUGGGGUGGCAGAGCGCAAGAGGCUCCUAUCAGGGAGUCCAGUUGCUCACUAGUGUGAUUUGUGCCCAAGAAAACACUCUUGCUUUCUUCCCUCUAAACCUGCAGAUCCUCAGGUUCAAAUUUUUAGUUUUUAAUUUUGGGGGUUCAUUUUAGUUUCUGUAUAUAAAUGUCUGCGUGUAUAUAUGUGCACCACAUAUAUGCCUGGUGCCCAUAGAAGUCAGAAGAAAGCAUUAAAUCUCCUGGAGCAGGAGUUACAGACAGUUGUGAGCUGCCAUGUGGGUGCGGGGAUCUUAACCCAAGUCCUCUGGAAGAGUAAGUACUCUUAACCCCUGAACCAUCUCUCUAGCCCCAGGCUCAAACCUUGAGCACUGUCUGGCUUUGCCCCGUGUCCAAAUCCAUCUCACCAAACCCUGUCAUCCCCUCCUUGUGCCAACUCAUGUGUCCAAGCCUUCCUUUUCCUUAUGCCUCCAGGUCGACUCCUACAGUCAGAAGGCUUUUUGAACGCCUCAUUCAUGCCAGGUAUGGCCCUGUGGAGCGGGCAGGCUAGUGGGAAAGCAGCUCAGGCCAGUGGUUGCCCUGCAAUGUGCCCAGUGGCUUCCUGGAGGAUACUCAAGCAGCUUUGCAAGGUGUUAGAGACUUUGGGGAGGUAGACGGUGGGAAGUAGCUGUCAGAAAGAAAAUGUAUAUUUGGGGACUUGCCUGUCCCUCAAAGGAAGUGGAGCCUUAGAUACUGAAGCAGGGAGGCUGGUUCAAUGGUGAGGAUUACAGGAAGUCAGCCAUAGGCUCAGAGAUGCUAGAACACGGCACCUGGCCAAGAGGUUGUGCAUAACUUCCAGGUGGCUCACAUGUGUACAACGUGAUGGUUUCUGGGCUUGCAUGUUAAAAACCAAAGACUUAAGAAGUCAAGGGCUAUAAGGCCAACUCCUGCUAGACUGGAAAGGAGGGACUAAUGAAAGUGGGAGGUGUCUGAGGGGGUUCUCUGAGAGCAAGGGGGAGCAGAGGAAGUGCUGCUGGUUCACAGGUUGCCACGUAAGCAAGAUGCCAGGCUUCAUACAGCCCCUUUCCUGGCCUCCCUUCAGCGUCCCUUCCUGCUUAGUGGCAGUGGAGAACGACGGACCGACCUCUCCCUCAUCAGCAAGCCCUCGCUGACUACCUGGCCCUUCUAAUUGUUCUUUGGGUUUGGAACACUUUAAACAGCAGAAUGACUACAGAUCAAGGGCUCAGUCCACAGGAAGGACAACAAAAGACUGAGUUAGGGUUGGGCAGAUGGUCAAGACACAGGGUCCGGCUUCCCUCACUUGCUAGUAGAGGAUUAAGAGGUAAGUUAUCAAUGCCUUUGGGCCCUAACUUUAUAGCGCUUUGCAGGGUCACGUGCAAUGUCCAGUGUUCAAUGCUGAAUGUUGAGGGACACGGUAAGAGGAAGUAGGAGGAACUGAAGCAACAGUCUCCCAGAAGCCUGGGCCUUGGGAACCCCAUUAGGUGCCUGUCCAGUGCCUGGAGCUGUCUGGGUCUUAGGUCUGUGUUAGAGGGUGACAUCUCGCUAGUACUAGUGAUCUAGUAACUAGGAGGCCUGCUCCCACAUUACCUACAGCUGAUUCUGUUCCUUCGCUUGUCUCUCUCUCUCUCUCUCUGUUCUCCAAAGCGGCACAAGCCAGGCACUAUGGAGUGAGGACCUGCAAGCCCUGCCCACAGGCUUCCAGCCUCUGAUCCUCUGGCCCUUGGAAUGGUCAGCAGUGAGCUACUUUUGAGUCUGUCAGGAGCCUUGGGCCCAUGGUUCGGAGAUACUCUGAGCAGGGCAGGUCUUCAGUUGUCCCUUGUCAUGCAAGCAAGAGUCAGGGGGAAAUGGCACUGGCCUUAGCCCUCAUCAAGAGCACUGGGGCCUCCAGAAUUGGAGGGAGGACCAGGCUGAGGCUGGCAUAUGGAGGAGAACCUGAGCAUGGUGGAGUUUCACCUGCUAGGGCUGCCUUCUGCCGGAUUGUCCAUCUGGCACCAGCUGGCACAUACCGGCUCCGCCCCCACAGCCACCCAGACUCCUUCCGCUGUUGCUAUGACAACUGGCUGCCAUCUUGUACUCAGGGCACUACCUCCUCUCUGGAUUUUCCUACCAGGCUCCUGAAGGACAGGAGACGGGUCCUUAAAAAUUUAUAUCACUAUCUGGUGUUUGCAAAUGGCCAGGAAGGCCAGGCGUGGGGCCUCCCAGCUGUAAUCUCAGUCCGUGGAAGGCUGGGGCGGAAGAAUGGUCAGUGUGAGGCCAGCCUGGGCAAAGAGUUAGACCUUGGUCUCAAAAACAAACCAAAUUUCUUGGUUUGAUGACACAUUCUUUUAAUCUCAGUACUUGAAAGACAGAGGCAGGAGGAUCUCUGUAAGUUCAAGACCACCCUUGUCACCACAGCAAGUUUCAGGACAGCCAGAGCUACCUAGUGAGACCCUGUCUCUAAUAAAACAAGCCAAAUUAAUCAUCACAUCCAGGACUAAGGCUCUAGCUCGGUUGGUAGUGUGAUUGUCUAUGCACGAGCCCUGGCCCCUUCCCAGCACCGGAGACCGUAUAUGGUGACACACAUGAGUAAUCCCAAAAUCAGGGCUAGAUUAUGAGUUCAAAGACAUCCUGGGCCGUGGUGUAAGACUCUAUCUCAAAGAAAUAAAAAUGUCAAUGACCAAGAUAGGCCACUCCGUCCGGCUCUGCGUUAGACGUUAUUCAGUUUGUCCAGAAGUUCAGAUCCUGUGUCUGGGCCGAGGCUGUGGCUCCGUGGCAGAGUGCUUGGCUAGCCAGCGCUGCCUGGCUCAAUCUCCAGCUGCCAGGGACGUGGGGGGUGGAGAGGCAAGGAGGCAGAUCCUGUUUCCUGACCACCCAUCCAGUCACCAUCUAUAUUGCUGUCACAUCAGCUCUUAGUUCACCACGGACGAGAUGAAGGUAAGGCGGGUAACUGUAAAGCAAUUCUGGUCCCUUGAUGUGGGAAAUGGAAAUUGAGACUUAGUUAACUUGGUAUGAAGUUUAAGUGCCCCUUAAAGACUCGGGUGUGGGGACAGUGAGAUGUACUAAUAUCCUGGCCCCUAUGUGGAAGGAGAAAGCUGAUUCCCAAAAGUUGUCAUCUGGUCUCCACACAUGCACCGUGGCCUCCACACCCCAAAAAUGUAAUAAAAAAAUUAAAAGCCAUGGGGGCUUCCAUCCAGUGUUCCCAAUGUUUUGGAACUUUCUUUCUUUCCCCUACCAGCACCCUAGGGAGCCAACAGCCAGCAUGGGCCAUUUCCUAGGCCGGUUGAUGGGACCUUAGGGUUCCCGAGAAGGCUCCAACUGGUCCCUGAGAACUCAGUCCUCCUCCUAUCAACCAGGGGAAGGUGAGGACCGGCUGCCUAGCUGGGAGAGCGGUGGGAGAGCAGCGGUGAUGCUGGGCAGGACCAGCUGGCUGAGAGGCAGCUCCCUGCCACUUUACUGUUGCUAGGAGACCCUGGCUGACCCUGUCAUCUGGAUUGCUCCUCCCCAGCCAUCUACAACCCUUUCUCAGGCUCUGCAACACACCAGCCUCUCCUGCCGGUCCCUCCAGGUCCAGCCAGCUACGGGAGAAGGAGCAGGGGAAUAUGGAGGCAGGCAGGCAAUAACUUUGGGGAUGGGGGAGCACUCUGACGGCCUGCAGGUGACCUGGGACCCAAGCCUAGAGGAUCCAAAGUUUAUCAAUGUAGUCAUUACCUUAGGGGUGAAGUCUUUCAGAAACAUGAUGCAGAUACAGACUUCUCAGCCCAGUUCCUCCAGUAAAGGUCAAAGUUAAGGGCUGGUGAUGGUGGGGGGAGAGCAGCUGAGGAGAGAAAGGCUGAGGAGCCUCCAGGCUACAGGUGGGUGACAGUGAGUGGAGCUGGUGACACAGGGACAGGGUUGAGAUCCCCUCCUCUUCCUGGAAUCCCCUUGUUAGAAGUGAAGGCCAGCCAAGCCUUUAACCCCAGCACUGGAGCAGAGGCAGGCAGAUCUCUGUGAGUUCGAGCGAGUUCCAGGACAGCCAGGACUGUUUCACAGAGAAUCCCUGUCUGGGGAGCGGGGAGAGUGAAGGCUGAGGAGCAGGUGGCUAAAGAUUCCUGAAUUUGGCUACUGCUUGAAUUUUGUCACAGUUAAUCUUCCCUGGGUGAGAUCCAAGUGAUCCUGUCCCCAGGUCCACAGGAGCAAUCAGAGGUCGCUGUGCUUCACAUGGGGCUCCCUCCUUCCCUCCAUCCCUCCUUCCCAAUGCUGAUUUCCUGUGGGGCAAAUUACGAGCUCAGCUGUAGACCAGAGCUCAGUGAUCCAGACCCAACAGCACAGAGGAAAGCUCUACCAUUUGCAGGGGUUGAAGGCAGGCCUGCAAAAGAUGCUAUCCAGCUGUUGAAGUCAGAUACUCCUACAUGGCUCUCUCAUAACCAAGUUUUCUGGGCUCUGGCCACAGUUCUAGAAUCCUUGGCGUCUGAGCCUCAUCCAGGACAUUCUGCCCUUGGUGCUCUGGGGUGGCCCGGUGGAGAUGCUUACAGCAGGCCUCUUGUCUGCUGUCCCCACACUACAGGGGACUUUUUCCUCUGUGUGCUCCUAACUGAGGUCUCCGUUCAAAGAGUGCUCUUAUUCAUGAGUGUGCAUGAGUAUAUGUUGUGAGUGUGAGUGUAUCUGAGAGUGUGUGUGUGUGUGUUGAUAUGGAGUCCUAUUGUAUAGUUCAGGCUGGCCUAGAACUCAGAGCAAUCCUCCUGCCUUUGGUUCCCCUAUGCUAAGAUAACAGACAUUUUCCCACUCUGGACAAUUUCUCUUUACAGGUCAGAGAAGACCUGACACCUCACCCUGCGCUCCCCUGCAAUGCAAAAUAUGUUCCCAGACUUCAGAGGGACUGGCUCCAGCAAGCAGAAGUGAACAGAGGCAGAGGAGCCUCCUGGAAGCUCUCCCCGGAGCUAUGGAAUGAGGGCUUGCUUACCUGGCCACUUCCAGCGAGUUGUCCCACCAGCCCAUCUGUUUCUCCUGUUGUCUCUCGACUGCAUCCCCAAAUCCUAUCCCAUGUCCAAUAAAGAGUGUU